CUACGUGCCAGCAGCCGCGGUAAUACGUAGGUGGCAAGCGUUGUCCGGAUUUAUUGGGCGUAAAGCGAGCGCAGGCGGUCAAUUAAGUCUGAUGUGAAAGCCCCCGGCUCAACCGGGGAGGGUCAUUGGAAACUGGUUGACUUGAGUGCAGAAGAGGAGAGUGGAAUUCCAUGUGUAGCGGUGAAAUGCGUAGAUAUAUGGAGGAACACCAGUGGCGAAGGCGACUCUCUGGUCUGUAACUGACGCUGAGGCUCGAAAGCGUGGGUAGCAAACAGGAUUAGAUACCCUGGUAGUCCACGCCGUAAACGAUGAGUGCUAAGUGUUGGAGGGUUUCCGCCCUUCAGUGCUGCAGUUAACGCAUUAAGCACUCCGCCUGGGGAGUACGACCGCAAGGUUGAAACUCAAAGGAAUUGACGGGGGCCCGCACAAGCGGUGGAGCAUGUGGUUUAAUUCGAAGCAACGCGAAGAACCUUACCAGGUCUUGACAUCCCUCUGACCGCUCUAGAGAUAGAGUUUUC
Molecule: ribosomal RNA, 518 nt
Filed under: uncultured bacterium
Lineage: Bacteria
Description: bacterial SSU rRNA
Rfam family: Bacterial small subunit ribosomal RNA
Source: RNAcentral